Non-coding RNA from Peromyscus maniculatus bairdii (prairie deer mouse), 556 nucleotides. The record is from RefSeq and is a predicted model, not a curated record. NCBI's taxonomy places the organism in Eukaryota, Metazoa, Chordata, Mammalia, Rodentia, Cricetidae.
UACAAAUGCUGGCUUUAAGAAUCAGUGGUUCCUGAUCUCAUCUUCAAAUGGGCACAGGAUAAUAGAAAUACCCAUCUUCCAGAAGUCAAAAGACCUUGGAUGUCUGACAAUUAGAAAAGAAGGGAAAACGUCUAAGAAAAAUUUACAAGCAAAGAAAAAUGAUACUCUGACCUAAUGAUAUCAAUAUUCUCUACAAGAUUAGCAACCAGAAGACAGUCCCGUGGAUCCAUAUAAAAGCCAUGAUCCUAGAGCUUCCGGCACUUGGCAAGAGAUCUCAGAAGAGUCGAGGCUGCUGCAGGCGCGCAGACAGGAGGCGUAGGUAAGUGAACCAGGGAGGAAGGUGGGUUAGCGAGCCUGUGUGUUUGGAUGCAGACAGAAAGAGGCUGCUGCAGGAUUUAUCUGGGCACUGAGUACCUGCAACUCCGCACUAGGAGGCUGAGGCAGGAGCAUGCCUUGCUGAGUUCCCUUGCUAUGCUAAACAGGGCGUCCUGGUGAGGCUGAAACGGAAAAUCAGUAGCCAUCUUGAGAGACGCUUCCGGCCACCCCUCCCCCCUCC